RNAcentral lists this ribosomal RNA (504 nucleotides) under uncultured bacterium. RNAcentral describes it as "partial 16S ribosomal RNA". It matches the Rfam family "Bacterial small subunit ribosomal RNA", at positions 29 to 523 of the family's 1533-position model. The record is from RNAcentral.
AUUGAACGCUGGCGGCAGGCCUAACACAUGCAAGUCGAACGGUAGCACAGAGAGCUUGCUCUCGGGUGGCGAGUGGCGGACGGGUGAGUAACGUCUGGGAAACUGCCCGAUGGAGGGGGAUAACUACUGGAAACGGUAGCUAAUACCGCAUAACGUCGCAAGACCAAAGUGGGGGACCUUCGGGCCUCACACCAUCGGAUGUGCCCAGAUGGGAUUAGCUAGUAGGUGGGGGAACGGCUCACCUAGGCGACGAUCCCUAGCUGGUCCGAGAGGAUGACCAGCCACACUGGAACUGAGACACGGUCCAGACUCCUACGGGAGGCAGCAGUGGGGAAUAUUGCACAAUGGGCGCAAGCCUGAUGCAGCCAUGCCGCGUGUAUGAAGAAGGCCUUCGGGUUGUAAAGUACUUUCAGCGGGGAGGAAGGCGAUGUGGUUAAUAACCGCGUCGAUUGACGUUACCCGCAGAAGAAGCACCGGCUAACUCCGUGCCAGCCGCCGCUGUAA